This 231-nucleotide ribosomal RNA is filed under the name uncultured bacterium. RNAcentral's name for it is "partial 16S ribosomal RNA". It matches the Rfam family "Bacterial small subunit ribosomal RNA", at positions 1269 to 1500 of the family's 1533-position model. The record is from RNAcentral.
GAAUCGCUAAAAGCCGUCCCAGUUCGGAUUGCAGGCUGCAACCCGCCUGCAUGAAGUUGGAAUCGCUAGUAAUCGCGGAUCAGCAUGCCGCGGUGAAUACGUUCCCGGGCCUUGUACACACCGCCCGUCACACCAUGAGAGUCGGGAACACCCGAAGUCCGUAGCCUGACCGCAAGGGGGGCGCGGCCGAAGGUGGGUUCGAUAAUUGGGGUGAAGUCGUAACAAGGUAAC